AGCCGGUCCCUUCGCGGCGAUAGAUUGUGAACCCCGCCAGGCCCGGAAGGGAGCAACGGUAACAGUUGAAUCGGGUGCCGAAGAUUCGAUUGGCUAAU
RNAcentral lists this signal recognition particle RNA (98 nucleotides) under Gammaproteobacteria bacterium. Its description in RNAcentral is "signal recognition particle sRNA small type". It matches the Rfam family "Bacterial small signal recognition particle RNA". Rfam says of the family: The signal recognition particle (SRP) is a universally conserved ribonucleoprotein involved in the co-translational targeting of proteins to membranes. Archaeal SRP consists of a 7S RNA and homologues of the eukaryotic SRP19 and SRP54 proteins. In most bacteria, the SRP consists of a 4.5S RNA and the Ffh protein (a homologue of the eukaryotic SRP54 protein). The record is from RNAcentral. Lineage: Bacteria; Pseudomonadati; Pseudomonadota; Gammaproteobacteria.